GGAGACGAAAGCAGUCUAAGCUGUUGAUUUUGCUUAUUUCUGCUGGAGACUUGAAAACCGGCAACGGGCAACCGUUCGUGAGUUCGAAUCUCACCGCUUCCGCCA
This 105-nucleotide transfer RNA is filed under the name Sterolibacterium sp. Its description in RNAcentral is "tRNA-OTHER". Lineage: Bacteria; Pseudomonadati; Pseudomonadota; Betaproteobacteria; Nitrosomonadales; Sterolibacteriaceae. The record is from RNAcentral.